Molecule: ribosomal RNA, 464 nt
Filed under: Vreelandella stevensii
Lineage: Bacteria; Pseudomonadati; Pseudomonadota; Gammaproteobacteria; Oceanospirillales; Halomonadaceae
Description: partial 16S ribosomal RNA
Rfam family: Bacterial small subunit ribosomal RNA
Source: RNAcentral
CCUACGGGCGGCAGCAGUGGGGAAUAUUGGACAAUGGGCGAAAGCCUGAUCCAGCCAUGCCGCGUGUGUGAAGAAGGCCUUCGGGUUGUAAAGCACUUUCAGUGGGGAAGAAAGCCUUGGGGCUAAUACCCUCGAGGAAGGACAUCACCCACAGAAGAAGCACCGGCUAACUCCGUGCCAGCAGCCGCGGUAAUACGGAGGGUGCGAGCGUUAAUCGGAAUUACUGGGCGUAAAGCGCGCGUAGGCGGUCUGAUAAGCCGGUUGUGAAAGCCCCGGGCUCAACCUGGGAACGGCAUCCGGAACUGUCAGGCUAGAGUGCAGGAGAGGAAGGUAGAAUUCCCGGUGUAGCGGUGAAAUGCGUAGAGAUCGGGAGGAAUACCAGUGGCGAAGGCGGCCUUCUGGACUGACACUGACGCUGAGGUGCGAAAGCGUGGGUAGCAAACAGGAUUAAUACCCGAGUAGUC